Molecule: ribosomal RNA, 404 nt
Filed under: uncultured bacterium
Lineage: Bacteria
Description: bacterial SSU rRNA
Rfam family: Bacterial small subunit ribosomal RNA
Source: RNAcentral
UCAGUAAUAUGGGCGAGAAAUGACGGUACCCUAAGAGGAAGCCCCGGCUAACUACGUGCCAGCAGCCGCGGUAAAACGUAGGGGGCGAGCGUUGUCCGGAAUUACUGGGCGUAAAGAGCGCGUAGGCGGUUCUUUAAGUCAGGUGUGAAAGAGCGGGGCUCAACUUCGGGGUUGCGCUUGAAACUGGAGUUCUUGAGGGCAGGAGAGGAAAGCAGAAUUCCCGGUGUAGCGGUGAAAUGCGUAGAAAUCAGGAGGAACACCAGUGGCGAAGGCGGCUUUCUGGACCGAUCCUGACGCUGAGGUGCGAAAGCGUGGGUAGCAAACAGGAUUAGAUACCCCGGUAGUCCUCGCCGUAAACGAUGGAUACUAGGUGUAGGAGGUAUCGACCCCUGUUGGGGGGUAAA